Schizophyllum commune H4-8 is the source of this 94-nucleotide non-coding RNA. The record is from the annotation of a RefSeq genome assembly. Lineage: Eukaryota; Fungi; Basidiomycota; Agaricomycetes; Agaricales; Schizophyllaceae.
UCCUCGGUAGUAUAUCGGCUAGUACACCCGCCUGUCAUGCAUUGUUCGAUCGCUCGCUACGCGGGAGAGCGGGGUUCGACUCCCCGCCGAGGAG